GACGAACGCUGGCGGCGUGCCUAAUACAUGCAAGUAGAACGCUGAAGGAGGAGCUUGCUUCUCUGGAUGAGUUGCGAACGGGUGAGUAACGCGUAGGUAACCUGCCUGGUAGCGGGGGAUAACUAUUGGAAACGAUAGCUAAUACCGCAUAAUAUUGACUAUUGCAUGAUAGUCAGUGGAAAGGUGCAACUGCACCACUACCAGAUGGACCUGCGUUGUAUUGGCGAGUAGGUGGGGUAACGGAUCACCAAGGCGACGAGACAUAGCCGACCGGCGAGGGGGGGCGGCCAGACUGGGACUGAGACACGGCCCAGACGGCUACGGGAGGCAGCAGUAGGGAAUCGUCGGCAAGGGGCGGAAGUCUGACCGAGAAACGCCGAGGGCGGAAAGAAGGUUGUCGGAUCGGAAAGCUCGGUUGUAAGAGAAGAAAGAGUGUGAGAGUGGAAAGCUCACACUGUGACGGUAUCUUACCAGAAAGGGACGGCUAACUACGUG
This 495-nucleotide ribosomal RNA is filed under the name uncultured bacterium. RNAcentral's name for it is "partial 16S ribosomal RNA". It matches the Rfam family "Bacterial small subunit ribosomal RNA", at positions 28 to 507 of the family's 1533-position model. The record is from RNAcentral.